This is a non-coding RNA of Candidatus Woesebacteria bacterium, 71 nucleotides long. The record is from Rfam. Lineage: Bacteria; Candidatus Woeseibacteriota.
GGCGAGUUAGCCAAGUGGUAAGGCAACGGUCUGUAAAACCGUGACCACGGGUUCGAAUCCCGUACUCGCCA